AACCUCCGCAAUGUGAGAAAUCGCGACGGGGGGAUCCCAAGUGCCAUUCUUAACGGGAUGGCUUUUCUUAAGUGUAAAAAGCUUUUGGAAUAAGAGCUGGGCAAGACCGGUGCCAGCCGCCGCGGUAACACCGGCAGCUCUAGUGGUAGCUGUUUUUAUUGGGCCUAAAGCGUUCGUAGCCGGUUUGAUAAGUCACUGGUGAAAUCCUGUAGCUUAACUGUGGGAAUUGCUGGUGAUACUGUUGAACUUGAGGUCGGGAGAGGUUAGCGGUACUCCCAGGGUAGAGGUGAAAUUCUGUAAUCCUGGGAGGACACCUGUGGCGAAGGCGGCUAACUGGAACGAACCUGACGGUGAGGGACGAAAGCUAGGGGCGCGAACCGGAUUAGAUACCCGGGUAGUCCUAGCCGUAAACGAUGCGGACUUGGUGUUGGGAUGGCUUUGAGCCGCUCCGGUGCCGAAGGGAAGCUGUUAAGUCCGCCGCCUGGGAGUACGGUCGCAAGACUGAAACUUAAAGGAAUU
This 519-nucleotide ribosomal RNA is filed under the name uncultured bacterium. RNAcentral describes it as "bacterial SSU rRNA". It matches the Rfam family "Archaeal small subunit ribosomal RNA", at positions 345 to 866 of the family's 1478-position model. The record is from RNAcentral.